This 444-nucleotide long non-coding RNA is filed under the name Androctonus crassicauda. Lineage: Eukaryota; Metazoa; Arthropoda; Arachnida; Scorpiones; Buthidae. The record is from RNAcentral.
AAUUCCUUUCAAAAUACAUUUAUUUAAAAUAAAUAAAACGGGUUUGGAAUCGUCUUUAUGAAAAAACAAAGAAAGAGCAGAAUGUGAAAACGGAAGUGGAAUAAACAUCCGAUAACAUCAAAUAGGAAGGAAAUGGAUCUUAUCUCGAUGAUAAGAGAUGGAAAAAAGGAGAAGAAAAAAUCAGAUAGAACAGUGGGCUUUAGGGGGACAGAGGUCCGUCCAAAAACAGCAGUUGUAAAACCUGGACCUUCUAUCUCCGAUUCUUCCGAGAUGUCUGACUCUGCCAGGUAUGUUGAGUGUCUAAAGAGCGAUAUUUCAACCCGCUUGCGAUCGAUAAUCAUUUUAGAGGUGUAAUUAAUUCGUUUAUAACAUAAAUCGCUUCUUUGAUUUAUCCAAUUUUUAUUCAUAUAUCGAAUAUAUCAAUUAUAUUUUGUUUUCCUUUCU